CACAUGCAAGUCGAGGGGAAACGACAUCGAAAGCUUGCUUUUGAUGGGCGUCGACCGGCGCACGGGUGAGUAACGCGUAUCCAACCUGCCCACCACUUGGGGAUAACCUUGCGAAAGUAAGACUAAUACCCAAUGAUAUCUCUAGAAGACAUCUGAAAGAGAUUAAAGAUUUACCGGUGAUGGAUGGGGAUGCGUCUGAUUAGCUUGUUGGCGGGGUAACGGCCCACCAAGGCAACGAUCAGUAGGGGUUCUGAGAGGAAGGUCCCCCACAUUGGAACUGAGACACGGUCCAAACUCCUACGGGAGGCAGCAGUGAGGAAUAUUGGUCAAUGGACGAGAGUCUGAACCAGCCAAGUAGCGUGCAGGAUGACGGCCCUAUGGGUUGUAAACUGCUUUUAUAAGGGAAUAAAGUGAGUCUCGUGAGACUUUUUGCAUGUACCUUAUGAAUAAGGACCGGCUAAUUCCGUGCCAGCAGCCGCGGUAAUACGGAAGGUCCGGGCGUUAUCCGGAUUUAUUGGGUUUAAAGGGAGCGUAGGCCGGAGAUUAAGCGUGUUGUGAAAUGUAGAUGCUCAACAUUUGCACUGCAGCGCGAACUGGUUUCCUUGAGUACGCACAAAGUGGGCGGAAUUCGUGGUGUAGCGGUGAAAUGCUUAGAUAUCACGAAGAACUCCGAUUGCGAAGGCAGCUCACUGGAGCGCAACUGACGCUGAAGCUCGAAAGUGCGGGUAUCGAACAGGAUUAGAUACCCUGGUAGUCCGCACGGUAAACGAUGGAUGCCCGCUGUUGGUCUGAAUAGGUCAGCGGCCAAGCGAAAGCAUUAAGCAUCCCACCUGGGGAGUACGCCGGCAACGGUGAAACUCAAAGGAAUUGACGGGGGCCCGCACAAGCGGAGGAACAUGUGGUUUAAUUCGAUGAUACGCGAGGAACCUUACCC
This 934-nucleotide ribosomal RNA is filed under the name uncultured bacterium. Its description in RNAcentral is "bacterial SSU rRNA". It matches the Rfam family "Bacterial small subunit ribosomal RNA", at positions 52 to 976 of the family's 1533-position model. The record is from RNAcentral.